RNAcentral lists this long non-coding RNA (1648 nucleotides) under Sus scrofa (pig). RNAcentral describes it as "lncRNA (ENSSSCG00050008740.1)". The record is from RNAcentral. Lineage: Eukaryota; Metazoa; Chordata; Mammalia; Artiodactyla; Suidae.
AACUCACUGAGCGAGGCCAGGGAUCGAACCUACAUCCUCAUGGAUGCUAGUCGGAUUCGUUUCUGCUGAGCCACGAUGGGAACUCCUUUUUUUUUAAACCUCCGUAAUACACACACAAUGCCUUACACGUAGUAGGUGUUCAAUCAGCAUUUCUUGGGUUGGAUUGAAUACUAGUUCAUAGUAGACAGAGAUCUAUCUCAUCUCCCCCAGCGCAUCAGUCCCAUAAAUGUUUACUGAGCACCAUUUAUGUGCAGGGUGCUGUGCUAGUUGCUAGAAAGGGGCCCCUUGUCUUCCUCAAUGUCAGUCAUCUGCAUUCAUAGGGCCUAGUGCAUAUAAGAGGUCCUUGCUAGAUACUUACUGAGUAAACAAAUGAAUUAGUGAGUAACUAAGUGAAGGGAUGAAGUUCAGACAGGCAUCACUUGAAUAAGGACUUAGGGCAGCUGUCAGAUAGGAGGUAGGAGUGGAAGAUAAAGCUAAGGGAGUCUGAGGUACAGCGAAUGGCUAUUGUUUUAUUUAUUUAUUUAUUUAUUUAUUUAUCUGAGGCUCUGAUUGGACCCCUAGCCUGGGAACCUCCAUAUGCCACGAGUGUGGCCCUCAAAAGACAAAAAAAAGAGAACAUUUCUUGCCCCAAAUAGAUAUAUCAGUAUAGUAACUCCAUAUACCUGUUUGUCCACAUCAAGUAAUUAUCAGGCCAUGGCUAUAUUUGCUUCAUGCAUCUUUUUUUUUUCCCCCCUUUGCUAAAGUAUUUUAAAAUAAAUUUUAAACAUCACUCAUGUCCUUUCAUUCCUAGUACCUCUCUAUGCAUGUUUGGAAAAAAACAGACAUUUUCUCAUAUAACCACAGUCCCAUUAACAUACCUAACAAAAGUAACCAUGAUGCUUUUGUGUUAUCCCUUACCCGGUCUACACGCAAAUGUCCUCAAGUGUCUCAAAACAUGUUCUACAGCUGGCUUGUUAGAAUCCAGGUCCCAAAGAGCUCUGCCCACUACAUUUUGUCGUUGUGUCUUUUACGGCCCUUUCGACAGUCCCCUCUCCCUAACUGGUUAGAGAAGUCAUGUCAGUUGUUCUGUCCGCCGCCCCACAUUCUGGCCUGUUCGCUUUUCCUUACUGUCAUUUAGCUUGUUCCACUAUCUCCUGUAUCUCUCAAAAGUGGAAGUUUUCUCUCGGCUUGGUCUGCUUCAGGCUUUUCUUUUUUUUUUCUCCUUUUUCUCCUCCCCUUUGGCAGAGUGAUUAAAAGGGGGCCCGCGUGGAGGCAUUUACAGGCAGUUAGGGGGCUGUUCGAGUAGCUGGCUGGGGCUAGAAAGGAGGUGGAUGGCCGGAUUUCGGAGGUAGAAGAAACGUGACUUACCUACCAAUUGGAUGAGUGGGAUAAGAAAGGAAGACGAGUCAAAGAUGAUGCCGAGACGCUGAGCCUGCAUGAUGGGGAGAGUAAUAAUACCGUCAUAUCAUAUCUGAAGGAUCGGUUUUUAAUGAGAGCAGCAGGAAUUAUGGUUCGAUGAAAAGAGGAACUUUUCUCACAGUAAUAAGCCAUCUGCUCUGUUUUUUCUUGAUAACACUAUCUUGCCCAGAAAAACUUUGAUUAGUGGUAGAGCUAGAAAUGUGGGCCCUCCAGGAAAAAGAAAAAGAAAAAGAAAAAAAAAAAAAAAAAG